AUUGAACGCAGGCGGCAUGCUUUACACAUGCAAGUCGAACGGCAGCGCGGGCUUCGGCCUGGCGGCGAGUGGCGAACGGGUGAGUAAUGCAUCGGAACGUGCCCAGUAGUGGGGGAUAGCCCGGCGAAAGCCGGAUUAAUACCGCAUACGACCUGAGGGUGAAAGCGGGGGACCGAAAGGCCUCGCGCUAUUGGAGCGGCCGAUGUCGGAUUAGCUAGUUGGUGGGGUAAAGGCUUACCAAGGCGACGAUCCGUAGCUGGUCUGAGAGGACGACCAGCCACACUGGGACUGAGACACGGCCCAGACUCCUACGGGAGGCAGCAGUGGGGAAUUUUGGACAAAGGGGGCAACCCUGAUCCAGCCAUGCCGCGUGCGGGAAGAAGGCCUUCGGGUUGUAAACCGCUUUUGUUCGGGAAGAAAUCCUCUGGGCUAAUACCCCGGGGGGAUGACGGUACCGGAAGAAUAAGCACCGGCUAACUACGUG
This 484-nucleotide ribosomal RNA is filed under the name uncultured bacterium. Its description in RNAcentral is "partial 16S ribosomal RNA". It matches the Rfam family "Bacterial small subunit ribosomal RNA", at positions 29 to 507 of the family's 1533-position model. The record is from RNAcentral.